GUUGAUUCUCCUCAGUUCGUGUCUUGAGACCGAGGCUCGUCUACGCCGAGAACUGCGUACGUCUUUCGAUUUCAAACUUCUUCACUUUUGUCUCUUUUUCCCCUCCAUUCGUGCCUGUCAGUGAAAUUCCGUUUAUUAUAUUAAAAACUUUUAGGAUUUAUAAGUAUUGAUCGACCUGCCUCUGGGUUUAACCGGAAAAAGAAAUUGUGAUUUUUUCCCAAAAUUUGAAGUGGUGUGAUCUGUGUAAACGAGGAUUUAUUCUGGAGAUUGUCGAAAGAAAAUGUACACUUUGUACAAUCGUUCAUCCUGUUGUUAGUGGACGUUUAUGAAUAUUUGAGAAGUGAGUGAAUAGAUUUUAAAAGGAUCGAUCCAAAAUGAUGGCUCAUCACCGGUCUUCCCAUGACGCGACACCGAUCUGCCGGUGCAGGGUCCUUUAUCUGGGCUCUGCGGUGCCUCACAUCACGAAGGACGGCCUCCAAGGGAUACAGGAGCCUCUGAGGGAACUCUAUCCGGAACAAGGCGCCCUCGGAGCGAGAGGGAUAGACUCUUGGCUCAGCGUUUGGAGCAACGGUGUCCUUUUGGAGAACGUGGACGAAAAUCACAAAAAGGUAACGAGAUUUUUUCCGAUCGACACACUUCAUUACUGUGCCGCGGUGAGGUACGUCCUCGUGCCCGAGAAGUCGCCGGCUUCUUCCUCGUCGCAGCCGAGAUUUUUGCCUUUGGACUCCCCGUUCGCGAGAUCCCCCAACCCCAACCAUCCUCCUCUCUUCGCCUGCAUCUUACGCCGUACGACCGGCAUCAAAGUUUUGGAAUGUCACACUUUCAUCUGCAAGAGGGAAAUGGCGGCCAACGCUCUGGUCAGAUGCUGUUUUCACGCGUAUGCGGAUUCGUCUUACGCCGCGCGUCAAUCCGACCCGCCCUCGACUUACAACUCGAACGGAGGCACUUACGGCACCCUACGCAAGGACUGUCAGAUCGGCAACAGUUCUAACAGCAUCGAAAAAGUAGACGGCUGGAGACGUAUGACUUCCCCUUUGGCCGGAAGCACCCUGACCCUGGACAGCGUAGUCCACAACAGUACGUUCGAGAGCAACGGUAACAACGCCAACGGGAAUACAAGCGCCUCCUUAGUCUUCAACAACGAUUUUUCCAGAUCCAACGAUGACAUCUCUGUUUAUAACGGUGACGAAAACCACAAGAUCUGGGCCGGAAGCACUCGCGAGCUUUCCGACGGCGAAGAAGGGAUUUACGGCGAGUACGGGACGAGCACGAUGAAAAGCGCCAGGUCGUCGAGACCUAGGCAGAUAAUGAGCGCCACUCCUCCUCCGCCUCCGCCGACUAAAGAAGAGAAACAAACUGUAAACAAAACUAACAAAGAAUCGUCGAGGAGGAAAAAAAUGACGGGAGGGAGCAAAGAAGAGAUGUAUCCUCUGAUGAACGGAUCAUUAAUGAGGCCAGGUAGCACGGUAAGAUCUCAAGGAUCGACCGUAGGAGGGACUCUGAUGCGAAAUCACGGCGGUUACCAUUCUCACCAACAGCAACCUCCGCCUAUGAUUGUCGUACCGGCGACCAUCCCUCAUCUGAGAAGGGGCCCGCCACCGAAAGGCCGUCCUCAUCCUCAUGGGCCGCCUAUGGUGUCUCCGAACUUCUACCCGCCCCCGCCUGCCCCGAUAUUCGUUCAGACGACCGGGAAGAAAAACAAACACUAUCCCGUCACCAUGGAAGAACCGAUAUACAUGCCUUCGAACCGGCCGAUGAGCCCGGUGUCCUCUUACCAACCGUGCCAUUUCCCCAUCGAAGCUUAUUUAAUGCAACACUACGCCACGAUGAAUUACAAUUACGGAAGGAAAGGGAAAAAGGGCAAUAAAAAAGCGAUGAAAAUGAUACCGAUCAUGCCGCCUCCACCGCCCAACUGCGAAGAAUGGGGCGACCCUGGGAUGGUGUACGAACAGAGACCUAUGAAAGAGAUGAAAAACGGAAAACCGCCCAGUUCUAAAGGCCAAAACCCCGGCGGGGUCGGCCCGGGGUCCGAGGAGGAAUGCUCCGAGAGCCCCUUCGACGCCAGACUCUACAACAAAGAAGGGAAAGAAGGCGAAAACUUCAAAAAAGGCACCAGCCUCAUGGGUCUGGACGAGGACGCCGAAUCCCCCUACAACACGGGCAUCUACAGGAGAAAAGGGCACAUGAACGAAAGGGCAUUUUCUUACUCCAUCAGGCAGGAGCAUAGGUCCCGUUCCUACGGAUCCCUGGCCAAUUUGAAAUUCGCCCCUCUUCCCGUCCUCCCCGGGGAUCGUCCUGACGCACACUACUACGACACCGGGGUCAACAAAGAAGAAAUGAAAAAAGAACGAGAGAUCAUGCAGAUGAUGCAGGACUUGGAACUUUCAGGAGACGACAUAGAAAGAUCAGAAGUGCCCCCAAACGUAUACCAACAGACUCGCCAGAGAAAUUCACAAAUUAGGAGAUAAUUUCACCGUCCGAAGAGGUUGCGAAAGGUGUGUAACGAAAUGGUGCGAAAUCUUCAGAAUUAUAUAUUAUUUGACUAUAGUAAUCAAUGAAUCCUCAGUCGCCGAUGAAGAUUGUUCUACUGGAAGUAAUAGCAUAUUACACCUUUUAGAACAUAAUAAUGAAUAAAUGAAUAUACAAAAAAUAUAUUACACUUAUAUAAUUACCAAAAAAAAUUAGCAAUUAGUCCAACCCCCUGAGGUGAUAUUGAUGUGUUUUGAAAUGUAUAGUUAUUAUUUAUUUAACUGUUAAAUAAUUAUUAAGAAAAAUAUAUUUUGGAUUGCAUACCAUUUUUAUAUGUGCCUAAUGACCAUUUUUGACUGGCGUAACAUAUGGCGGUAAAAAUUGUGUUGCCAUAUUAUACGAACAUGGUUAAUAAUCUUGUUUUAUGUGGUAGUUAUAUUAUAUUUACAUUUUAUAUAAUCAUAUAAAUGUGGAUGACCAUUUAAUUACUAAGGCAUUACUUUAAUUUUAUUUUUACUUGUAAUAUUACAAUUUUAAGAUCAGACAUUUAAGUUUCCACAAAAAGAAUAUGUAUUUUAUACAUAUUUAUGAAGAUUUUUAAGCUGGUUUAUUUUAUGUCUUCCUAGUCCACAGUCCCUUUAAUAAACAAAUUUAAAAAAUUAAAGAAUUGAUGUUAAAGAUUUGUAAAAAAACCUACCAGCAGAUAAUGUUGAUGAUGUUUCUAAACAUCUUGAUCAUUAGCAUUAAAAAAAAUUAAUAUUCAAAUUUAAAACUAAAUUUUAAUCGUAAUAUAGUGUUGUACUUAGUGUUAAUAGUAUUGUAUAGAUAAAUUUAAUCGAAUAAUAUAAAAUAAUUAAAGAUAGAGAUUACAGUUUUAUCUGAAAUUAUCUAAUUACCAAGAAAUUUUUUUGCUUCAUGGUUGUACAAAGCAAAUAAUCACAACCCACAUAAAUAUGUACCAGUAGCAAACAAUAAGUCUUCAGUAUUUAGAUGUAAACUCAUACUAAAUUGGUAGUUUCAUUUUGUUUAAUUAUAUUGUAUAUGUAUGUAUAUCUUUUUUUUAGAUGAGAAUAUGAAAAUUUCAUUUGUGUUAAAAUAUAUUUUGUAUAUGAGAGUUAAAUUUCUAUGAAUAUUUGGAAAGAUGUAUACAUAUUUUUCUAUCAGUUUUAUCAAUUUAGGGUGUGAGAUGGUGCCAUGAAUAUUUAUAUGAAUUUAUUUUUCUACUGUUACAUUAGAAUUUAAAUUUAAAACUAUAUAAAUUAAUAAUAAACCAAUUUCCUGAAUCUGAAAUAUUUUAA
This is an RNA transcript of Cimex lectularius (bed bug), 3767 nucleotides long. RefSeq lists it as uncharacterized. The transcript has 4 exons. The record is from RefSeq and is a predicted model, not a curated record. Lineage: Eukaryota; Metazoa; Arthropoda; Insecta; Hemiptera; Cimicidae.